GCGAAAACUUUACAAUGCUGGCAACAGCGAUAAGGGAACCCCGAGUGCCAGGUUACAAAUCUGGCUGUCGAGAUGCCUAAAAAGCAUUUCAUAGCAAGGGCCGGGCAAGACCGGUGCCAGCCGCCGCGGUAACACCGGCGGCUCGAGUGGUAACCGUUAUUAUUGGGUCUAAAGGGUCUGUAGCCGGCCGGAUAAGUCUCUUGAGAAAUCUGGCAGCCUAACUGUCAGGCUUUCAGGAGAUACUGUCUGGCUCGAGGCCGGGAGAGGUGAGAGGUACUUCAGGGGUAGGGGUGAAAUCUUGUAAUCCUUGAAGGACCACCAGUGGCGAAGGCGUCUCACCAGAACGGACCUGACGGCAAGGGACGAAAGCUAGGGGCACGAACC
This 384-nucleotide ribosomal RNA is filed under the name uncultured prokaryote. Its description in RNAcentral is "bacterial SSU rRNA". It matches the Rfam family "Archaeal small subunit ribosomal RNA", at positions 341 to 725 of the family's 1478-position model. The record is from RNAcentral.